Erigeron canadensis is the source of this 125-nucleotide small nucleolar RNA. RefSeq annotates it as small nucleolar RNA snoR99. The transcript has a single exon. NCBI's taxonomy places the organism in Eukaryota, Viridiplantae, Streptophyta, Magnoliopsida, Asterales, Asteraceae. The record is from RefSeq and is a predicted model, not a curated record.
UUGCAAAACUGAAUUACAUCUCCUAAUAUUUACUUUAAACACCCUUUCACUUUGUCAGUAAUAUCCUUUUUUAGUUUCAUAGCUAAUGUUUUUCAACUUACUGAUCAUUUAUGGGUGUUACAUUA